UACGAAGGGGGCUAGCGUUGCUCGGAAUCACUGGGCGUAAAGGGUGCGUAGGCGGGUCUUUAGGUCAGGGGUGAAAUCCUGGAGCUCAACUCCAGAACUGCCUUUGAUACUGAGGAUCUUGAGUUCGGGAGAGGUGAGUGGAACUGCGAGUGUAGAGGUGAAAUUCGUAGAUAUUCGCAAGAACACCAGUGGCAAAGGCGGCUCACUGGCCCGAUACUGACGCUGAGGCACGAAAGCGUGGGGAGCAAACAGG
Molecule: ribosomal RNA, 253 nt
Filed under: uncultured bacterium
Lineage: Bacteria
Description: partial 16S ribosomal RNA
Rfam family: Bacterial small subunit ribosomal RNA
Source: RNAcentral